RNAcentral lists this ribosomal RNA (395 nucleotides) under uncultured bacterium. RNAcentral's name for it is "partial 16S ribosomal RNA". It matches the Rfam family "Bacterial small subunit ribosomal RNA", at positions 523 to 918 of the family's 1533-position model. The record is from RNAcentral.
AUACGUAGGGGGCAAGCGUUAUCCGGAUUUAUUGGGUUUAAAGGGUGCGUAGGCGGUUUGCUAAGCGGGAGGUGAAAUGCCGGCGCUCAACGUCGGAAGUGCCUCCCGAACUGGUGGACUUGAAUGACUCUGCCGUGGGAGGAAUGUGUAGUGUAGCGGUGAAAUGCUUAGAGAUUACACAGAACACCGAUUGCGAAGGCAUCUCACGAAGGGUUGAUUGACGCUGAGGCACGAAAGCGUGGGGAGCAAACAGGAUUAGAUACCCUGGUAGUCCACGCCGUAAACGAUGAGCACUAGUUGUUGGGUCCGAAUGGAUUCAGUGACGCAGUUAACGCAAUAAGUGCUCCGCCUGGGGAGUACGGUGGCAACACUAAAACUCAAAUGAAUUGACGGGG